UCCAUGAAGGGGCUCACCUUGG
Molecule: non-coding RNA, 22 nt
Filed under: Mus musculus (house mouse)
Lineage: Eukaryota; Metazoa; Chordata; Mammalia; Rodentia; Muridae
Source: RNAcentral